This 253-nucleotide ribosomal RNA is filed under the name uncultured bacterium. RNAcentral's name for it is "partial 16S ribosomal RNA". It matches the Rfam family "Bacterial small subunit ribosomal RNA", at positions 524 to 776 of the family's 1533-position model. The record is from RNAcentral.
UACGUAGGGUGCGAGCGUUAAUCGGAAUUACUGGGCGUAAAGCGUGCGCAGGCGGUGAUGUAAGUCAGGUGUGAAAUCCCCGGGCUUAACCUGGGAACUGCAUUUGUGACUGCAUCGCUGGAGUGCGGCAGAGGGGGAUGGAAUUCCGCGUGUAGCAGUGAAAUGCGUAGAUAUGCGGAGGAACACCGAUGGCGAAGGCAAUCCCCUGGGCCUGCACUGACGCUCAUGCACGAAAGCGUGGGGAGCAAACAGG